This 358-nucleotide unclassified non-coding RNA is filed under the name soil metagenome. RNAcentral's name for it is "partial contains 5.8S ribosomal RNA, internal transcribed spacer 2, and large subunit ribosomal RNA". The stretch from base 1 to 120 matches the Rfam family "5.8S ribosomal RNA", at positions 35 to 154 of the family's 154-position model. The record is from RNAcentral.
GAUGAAGAACGUAGCGAAAUGCGAUAAGUAAUGUGAAUUGCAGAAUUCAGUGAAUCAUCGAAUCUUUGAACGCACAUUGCGCCCGUCAGUAUUCUGGCGGGCAUGCCUGUUCGAGCGUCAUUACGCCCCUCAAGUCCCCUGUGGACUUGGUGUUGGGGAUCGGCGAGGCUGGUUUUCCAGCACAGCCGUCCCUUAAAUUAAUUGGCGGUCUCGCCGUGGCCCUCCUCUGCGCAGUAGUAAAACACUCGCAACAGGAGCCCGGCGCGGUCCACUGCCGUAAAACCCCCCAACUUUUUAUAGUUGACCUCGAACCAGGUAGGACUACCCGCUGAACUUAAGCAUAUCAAUAAGCGGAGGA